UCAUUCCUUAUAGUGAUGUCAGCAUGAUGG
This 30-nucleotide non-coding RNA is filed under the name Mus musculus (house mouse). The record is from RNAcentral. Lineage: Eukaryota; Metazoa; Chordata; Mammalia; Rodentia; Muridae.